Molecule: ribosomal RNA, 220 nt
Filed under: Carebara reina
Lineage: Eukaryota; Metazoa; Arthropoda; Insecta; Hymenoptera; Formicidae
Description: partial large subunit ribosomal RNA
Source: RNAcentral
GAAUUUAAUAAAUUAUUAUAAUAAAGGUUAGGUGUAGUAUUUAUUUAUAAGGAUUUAUUUUAUUGGGAUAAUUAUUAGAUUUAAGGAAUUUUAAUAUAUAUUAAGGAUAUAGAUUAAUGGGGAAUGUUUAAAGAGUGGUUUAUAAGUUUAAGUAGAAUUAAUUACCUUAGGGAUAACAGCGUAAUAUCUUUAGAGAGAUCAUAUUAAUAAAGGUGAUUGC